Molecule: long non-coding RNA, 1762 nt
Filed under: Sus scrofa (pig)
Lineage: Eukaryota; Metazoa; Chordata; Mammalia; Artiodactyla; Suidae
Description: lncRNA (ENSSSCG00050077973.1)
Source: RNAcentral
CCAAGAGCUAUGUGGGAUCAGGAAGGGAGGAGGGAGGCCUGGGUUAGGUUCCACAAGUAUUGUUACUAAUUUUUGGUGCUCAGUGUGCUUCAUGGUGACUGGAGCUGAACGUGGAAGGAAGAGUAAGAUUUAAUAAUAAUAGUAGUCGUGGAGUUCCCGUCGUGGCUCAGUGGUUAACGAAUCCAACCAGGAAUCAUGAGGUUGUGGGUUUGAUCCCUGGCCUUGCUCUGUGGGUUAAGGAUCUGGCAUUGCCGUGAGUUGUGGUGUAGGUCACAGACGAGGCUCAGAUCCCGUGUUGCUGUGGCUCUGGUGUAGGCCGGCGGCUGCAGUUCCGCUUAGACCCCUAGCCUGGGAACCUCCUUAUGCUGCAGAAGCGCCCCUAGAAAAGGCAAAAAGACAAAAUAAUAAUAACAACAACAAUAACAAAUAAGAGCCUAUUUUUUGCUCAAUUAAGUCUCUGGGGUAAAUAUCCAGGUGGCUCCACACAGUCCUUCAGGACCCUGGCCGAUGGCGGCUCUGCCAUCCUGAGCACUGGCUGCCAGGCUUCGGUGAUUGUCAUCCCAGGAGAACACGGGGGAUGCUCGGGGCAGGGAGUGUCGGGGGGCAGGCCUGGGGUGGUGCCUUCACUUCUGCCCAGGUGCCAUGGCAGAGAUCAAUCAUAUCAGGGCCACAUCCACGUGUCACAGACUGCGGACCCACUGCCCAGCUGGCAGGAGAUGGGAGACAGCUCCUGUCUUAGGAGGGACAGCGAGCAUUCCCUGCCGUACUCAUCACACCCUCCGCUCCAUCACUUUAUCCCUUGCCUUCUACAGGAGCAUUCUUCUUGAACUCGUUCUCUUGAGCAGAAGCAUCUGAGAAGAUGUGUUUCUGCAGCAGAGAUGUGUAUCACUUUCCUAGGCGGCCGUAAGCAAGCAGUACAGACCAGGUGGCCUCAACCACAGAAAUUACGGUCUCACGGUUCUAGAGGCUGCAAGUCUGAGGUCAAGGCCAGCAGGACUGGUUUUCUCUGAGGCCUCUCUCCUUGGCUUGUAGACGGCUGUCUCCUCUCUGUGUCUUGACGUGGUGCGCCCUCUGUAUGUGUCUAUGUCCAACUCUGUUUGUAAGGAAACCAGUCAUCGUGAAUUAGCAGCCACCCACAAAACGUCAUGUUACUUUCUCUACCGCUUUCAAGACUCCCCCUCCCAACACAGUCCCAUUCCGAAGUCCUAGGGGUUAGGAUUCCAACAUAGGAGUUGGGGCGGGGGUGGGGGGGCCACAGUUCAGCUCAUCGUAAGAUGACAUCCAGAAGGAUGAAAUCCGGCUUUGUCAGCAGGAAAAACGCUCCUCUCUCUCUUUCUCUGUAGUGCUUUUACCUACCGCUUACCUGGCUAAGAUUCUCCUCAAAGUUCCCUCCAUGGUGCUUGGCCAUAGGGCCCAUUUUUUGGGUGGAGUUGGGGGGCGGGGCGUCACCUGCAGCAUGUAGAAGUUCCUGGGCCAGGGAUCAAACCCACACCAUAGCAAUGACCCAAGCCACGGCAGUGAUAAUGCUGUAUCCUUAAACCACUGAGCCACCAGGAAACUCCCCCAUAAGGCCUGCUUACAUCAGCUUUAUUUUUUAUUUUUGUUUAUUUUUGUCUUUUUGCCUUUUCUAGGGCCGCUCCCGCAGCAUAUGGAGGUUCCCAGGCUAGGGGUCCAAUCGGAGCUGUAGCCACCGGCCUAUGCCAGAGCCACAGCAAUGCCAGAUCUGAGCCUCGUCUGCAACCUACACCACAACUCACGGCAA